GACUGAGGCUGGAGCCCUGCAGAGGAGGCCCAGGGUGCAUGGCAUGGGGCCCAGGCAAGGCCAUCGCCUUGGUGUGGGAUUGGGAUGGAGCAGGGAGGAGCACCCGGCCUGGCUUCCUCGGAGUUGAGUCAGCCCAGGCUGGAGUGCAAUGGUGCAAUCUUGGCUCGCUGCAACCUCCACCUCCAGGUUCAAGCAAUUCUCCUGCCUCAGCCUCCCAAGUAUCUGGGAUUACAGAGUUUCGUUCUUGUUGCCAGGCUGGAGUGCAGUGGCGUGAUCUCUGCUCACCGCAAACUCUGCCUCCUGGGUUCAAGCGCUUCUCCUGCCUCAGCCUCUGGAGUAGCUGGGAUUACAAGCAUGCACCACCACACCUGGCUAAUUUUGUAUUUUUAGUAGAGAUGGUGUGUAGAAAGUAAAAAGUUUCCUCUUCAAAGUUUCCCUUCUUGUUAAAGAAUAAAUCGUAAGUGUUAGAAAUAA
This is a long non-coding RNA of Pan troglodytes (chimpanzee), 474 nucleotides long. RefSeq lists it as uncharacterized. The transcript is spliced from 3 exons. The record is from RefSeq and is a predicted model, not a curated record. NCBI's taxonomy places the organism in Eukaryota, Metazoa, Chordata, Mammalia, Primates, Hominidae.